This is a long non-coding RNA of Cynoglossus semilaevis (tongue sole), 479 nucleotides long. RefSeq lists it as uncharacterized. Lineage: Eukaryota; Metazoa; Chordata; Actinopteri; Pleuronectiformes; Cynoglossidae. The transcript has 3 exons. The record is from RefSeq and is a predicted model, not a curated record.
UCAGUAUUUGGUCCGUCCUCCGUCUCCCACUCAGUCCAAAGUUCUAAGCCGAUCAAUAAUGGACAUCUGAGAUCGUCUCCAACCUCCGCUGGACUCAUCUGAGCAAAGACAAAGGCUAAUAAAGAGUUGAGAAUCAAACUCUACUCAGUGUAAUGCCUUGCUGUGGUGCUGGACCUUUGACCUCUGACCUGUUGAGGCUCCGGGCUUCAAACAGCGUGUCGUCCUCGUCACUGUCCACCGCCUCCAUCUCCACUGAGUCACUGAGCAGCAGACCGUACUUCUUUCUCUGCAUGGGCUUCUUCAACCUGAUGACAUCAUCGUUUACAUCAGUGACAUCGUCAUGCUCGGCUCCUGGGUUUUGAAACAACUUUGAGCGGAGGUUGUGGACCGACAACAGCUGUGACACCGAGCUCGUCCUCCAGCUCUUACCUGACGGCUCGGAUGAGGAAGUAGAGCAGACCGAUCAUGGUGAAGCCGAU